GACGUCUACAUUAGAUACCCGCGUAGUCCCAGCCGUAAACUAUGCGCGUUAGGUGUAUCGGUGACCACGAGUUACCGAGGUGCCGAAGGGAAACCGUGAAACGUGCCGCCUGGGAAGUACGGUCGCAAGGCUGAAACUUAAAGGAAUUGGCGGGGAGCACCACAACAGGUGGAGCCUGCGGUUUAAUUGGACUCAACGCCGGGAAGCUCACCGGAUAGGACAGCAGAAUGAUUGCCGGGCUGAAGACCCUGCAUGACUAGCUG
Molecule: ribosomal RNA, 263 nt
Filed under: uncultured archaeon
Lineage: Archaea
Description: partial 16S ribosomal RNA
Rfam family: Archaeal small subunit ribosomal RNA
Source: RNAcentral